GGAGGGAUAGCCAAGUGGUCAAAGGCAGCAGACUGUAAAUCUGCCCGCGUCAGCGUUCGUAGGUUCGAAUCCUACUCCCUCCACCA
Molecule: transfer RNA, 86 nt
Filed under: Pseudomonadota bacterium
Lineage: Bacteria; Pseudomonadati; Pseudomonadota
Description: Proteobacteria bacterium (activated sludge metagenome) tRNA-Tyr
Rfam family: tRNA
About the family: Transfer RNA (tRNA) molecules are approximately 80 nucleotides in length. Their secondary structure includes four short double-helical elements and three loops (D, anti-codon, and T loops). Further hydrogen bonds mediate the characteristic L-shaped molecular structure. tRNAs have two regions of fundamental functional importance: the anti-codon, which is responsible for specific mRNA codon recognition, and the 3' end, to which the tRNAs corresponding amino acid is attached (by aminoacyl-tRNA synthetases). tRNAs cope with the degeneracy of the genetic code in two manners: having more than one tRNA (with a specific anti-codon) for a particular amino acid; and 'wobble' base-pairing, i.e. permitting non-standard base-pairing at the 3rd anti-codon position.
Source: RNAcentral